Molecule: long non-coding RNA, 2509 nt
Organism: Trachemys scripta elegans
Lineage: Eukaryota; Metazoa; Chordata; Testudines; Emydidae
Exons: 5
Source: RefSeq, a predicted model, not a curated record
AGUAAGUACAUAUACUGUACUUGGCCAGAAGAGCCUGGCGUAUCCAACAGAUUUUUACUUUGUAAGACACAUUUUGCUGUAUUUAUGCUUUUUUUUUCAUCUCCCCCUGAGGAGUAUUAACUCAAAGCAAUCACAAGACACCCAUCCUUGCCUGCUGCUUCCUGGGCUGCUACUUGUAUCUUCAUUCCUUACUGCUUCUCUAGCCAUUUGAAUCAUCUUUUUAAACUGCCUUCUGCUCCUAAAAUGAUCACUCUGUCAUCUGGGAAAGGCUAAACAUGUAAAAGCAUUUUCAUUUCUGUAGCAUUCACUUUCAUUUACUCUCUUCUUUCUAUUCAAGUCAAGCAGCACAGAGUGCUGUAUAAAUAGACAAGCCUGUACGACAUCCAGUUUUGAAGUAUUUUUAAAAUACAGUAUUGAAAAAAGAAGAGACAAACUGCAAGGCAAAUGCUAAGCUGCUCCUGAGCCUGAUGACGAUGUAGGUAUUUUGUCUCGGUUACCUGAGCAAUCUCCAGAAGCUUGAAUGGAUUACAAUAAUAUUCUAACAAGGCUGCAGGCAUCCUCAACAGCUUUCAUCUACAGAAGAAGAUAAGAGAUGGAAGAAUGUAAGUAUUUCCAUGUAAGCUAAAUUCCAGCAGCUGACUGCCAUGAUAGGGAAAGCCCUGAAAACUUUGCUGUCUUAAAUGUUUUAAUCUCAUAUAAAACAAAUAGGUCAGCUCUUCUCUUUAAAUAUUGUCACUGAAGCUCUUCUAAAGUGCAAAAAUUUGCCAAGGUUUCCUGCAGGGCAACUGAACAUACAAGUGCGGAGAGGUGGAAGUAGGAGAGAGACAGAAACCAAAACCUCUGGAUCUUCGUCUUCUCGGUGCUGCUACUGCUGAGGCUGUGGUGAAGUCCCUCUGACACCACAUAUCUGGGAAUGAAGAACUUCUCAGAGCUGAUUGGAAAUGGCAUUGCUGCGCUGAAACUUAACUGGAGGAAAUACAUCUCCCGAAGAAGAAAAUAUAAUGCACUUUAAGGAUCUGACUUCUGGUGAAAAAUUCAAGCCUAGAGAAAACUUGUCCGCUUUAUUAAGAAGAAUGGGUUGGACAAUCUUCUUCAAUUCCAAAGGAUAUCUGAACGCCAUGCUGAGCUUAAUCUCUGCAGCAUGCUCUGUGCUUCUCUUCUCCUCCUGAUGCACUGCAUGGUUAGCCUGAGGAGAAGGAUAAAGAAACUGGCUACCAAGAUGGUAAUCACUAGUGGAAAUGAAGAAGAUAAAGGCAAUCAAGAAAAGGAGAGCAAAGAAGAAACCAUCCUGGCAAUGCUUGGGAUUAUUGGAACAAUUCUGAACCUCAUUGUGAUCAUUUUUGUGUACAUUUACACAACAUUGUGAGCCAGAAGGCACACGACGAGAACCGACGAAACAGCUGCUAAAGGUGACAACAAACAUUGUAGGGUAUUGACAUGUUGCUUAAUCAACAUUGAUUCUGUACUAUAUUACCACAUCAUAAAAGCACUGCCUGCAGGCAGCGAAAGCUGAAGCACAAUUAAUUUAACAAGACUUUUUCACGCAGUAACAAGCUCCUUUCCCUUUUUAUUUGGGUUUGGUUUGGGGGGAAAUGACUGCAAUUAUGUAAGUAGCAGUUUUGAAGAACUCAAUCUGGGAUACAAACACAAUAGAAAGAGACUGUACACUAUUUAGAAUUACUAAUGUAUACCAUAUACUCUGAAAGAUAGCUAGAUAGCACCGAUUUUGUGUCCAUUAGGUCAAAUAAUUUUUUUUCUCCUUGACUUUUCAAUUUUAUUUACAUUGAAACUGACAGGCUUUUUAUUUAGAAUGAACAUAUGGUGCAAUCAUGGAAAAACAAUUCCGUUGAGCAAGAUCUGCCUAAAAACAAUGAAAUGUUGGGGGAAAUAAGUGACAUGAUUAUUUUUUCUUUCUCAUUUGCUUGACAUUUGUGUCUGUUCAAACCAAUGUUUAUAAAUAUAUAUUUUUAAUAAAUGUGCUAUAUUUUUAGCAUGAACCAAAUAUUUGGAGACAAUCUGUGCAGCCUGUUUUGUCUGAUGAAGUGCCCUUUGUUGACUAUGGAUGGGAUGCUCUUCAGCAGUUAUAUACCAAUCUUGUUCGCAGCCAUUUCAUUGUAGUCUGGAACAAACUUACAUCAUGCUUGACUUGAAGUUGGAAUGUCAGCUGAAAAGCAUUGCUUUUUAAUACAGGAGAUAGAAAAACAUUAUAAGGUGACCUUUAUAGACUGGUUGCAGGGACAUGGCUCUAUUUAUAGAACAACAGCAAAUGAAAAGAAUAUUAAGGCAUCUCACAUGACAUUCAAAAACUCAUCAGAUAUAUGGCUCUUUAAACCCCCAUCCCAUUCGAUAAGUACCUAUCGAAGAUUUCUGAUAGUAGGGGGCUCUUUAAUUGAGCGGACAGGCAUAACAAGAUCUAGUGGCUGGAGCUGAAGCUAGACAAAUUCAGACUAGAAAGAAGGUGUACAUCUUUAUAUCUUUCUUUAAAACAUGCUUUAACUUAACAAGAAGU